RNAcentral lists this ribosomal RNA (361 nucleotides) under uncultured bacterium. RNAcentral's name for it is "bacterial SSU rRNA". It matches the Rfam family "Bacterial small subunit ribosomal RNA", at positions 29 to 418 of the family's 1533-position model. The record is from RNAcentral.
AACGAACGCUGGCGGCAGGCCUAACACAUGCAAGUCGAACGCCCUAGCAAUAGGGAGUGGCAGACGGGUGAGUAACACGUGGGAACGUGCCUUUCGGUUCGGAAUAACCCAGGGAAACUUGGACUAAUACCGGAUACGUGCGAGAGCAGAAAGAUUUAUCGCCGAAAGAUCGGCCCGCGUCCGAUUAGCUAGUUGGUGGGUAACGGCUCACCAAGGCAUCGAUCAGUAUCCGGCCNGAGAGGGCGGACGGACACACUGGGACUGAGACACGGCCCAGACUCCUACGGGAGGCAGCAGUGGGGAAUUGUUCGCAAUGGGCGCAAGCCUGACGACGCAACGCCGCGUGGAGGAUGAAGACCUU